UACGUAGGGGGCAAGCGUUGUCCGGAAUUAUUGGGCGUAAAGAGCGUGUAGGCGGCCACUUAAGUCCUGCGUGAAAUCUUGCGGCUCAACCGCAAGCGGUCGUGGGAAACUGGGUGGCUAGAGUGCGGCAGAGGAGACUGGAAUUCCUGGUGUAGCAGUGAAAUGCGUAGAUAUCAGGAGGAAUACCGAUGGUGAAGGCAGGUCUCUGGGCUGACACUGACGCUCAUGCACGAAAGCGUGGGGAGCAAACAGG
RNAcentral lists this ribosomal RNA (253 nucleotides) under uncultured bacterium. RNAcentral describes it as "partial 16S ribosomal RNA". It matches the Rfam family "Bacterial small subunit ribosomal RNA", at positions 524 to 776 of the family's 1533-position model. The record is from RNAcentral.